Molecule: long non-coding RNA, 332 nt
Organism: Trichomycterus rosablanca
Lineage: Eukaryota; Metazoa; Chordata; Actinopteri; Siluriformes; Trichomycteridae
Exons: 3
Source: RefSeq, a predicted model, not a curated record
UCUAGCUUUAAGUCUCCUUUGUUACCUCUGGCAAGGUGACCAUCCUCUUCUCCAGCCGCACCAUUCAUUAUCCUGUCAGAAGCUUCAGGGUCCCACCACCACUCUCAGAACCCUGGCCAUAAUGAAUUAAUCAGUAAUCCCCAAAACUCAUCUCGUCACGCCCAAGAAUGUGUCUACAUGUCUUUGGGUCCAGACUGUGCCUACAGGCAGAGUUGCUCUCAACAUGUGCACACACAACAAAAUUGUAUCAGUUUGACCCAUUUUUGUGGGACGAAGAGUUUUAUUUAAAACUGGCGUUUCUACUUAUUUGAAGACCAUCCUCAAAUGCCGAA